UACGUAGGGUCCAAGCGUUACUCGGAAUUACUGGGCGUAAAGCGUGCGCAGGCGGUUCGCCAAGUCAGGUGUGAAAUCCCCGGGCUUAACCUGGGAACUGCGCUUGUAACUAGCGGGCUAGAGUACGGCAGAGGGGGGUGGAAUUCCACGUGUAGCAGUGAAAUGCGUAGAGAUGUGGAGGAACACCGAUGGCGAAGGCAGCCCCCUGGGCUAGUACUGACGCUCAUGCACAAAAGCGUGGGGAGCAAACAGG
This 253-nucleotide ribosomal RNA is filed under the name uncultured bacterium. RNAcentral describes it as "partial 16S ribosomal RNA". It matches the Rfam family "Bacterial small subunit ribosomal RNA", at positions 524 to 776 of the family's 1533-position model. The record is from RNAcentral.